UUUAAAAUAGUAUAUUAGUAUCAAUAUCCAACACUACGCAGCCAAUACAUGACACAGAUUCAAAAACAUGUUUUCUUUAUGAUUAACCAACAAUACAAUCAUACUGUCAAAAAAACCAACAAUACAAUGAGAUGUAAAUUGCAAUUGCAUAUGGAGAGCAAACAAAAUGCCAGAGGCACAUAUGCAUAAUCUAAGUGAAAUGUGUAUUAUCUCUACAUAUCCACUCACUUUACCAUUCCAUCAUAGGGAUUGAGCCACCAGCUGCCACUAUUUGCUGCUUAAGCUGCAAUUAGUAUCCACAAAAAAAAUAUAAAUUACAAAUCUAAAUCCUGAAAUAAAUAUAACAUUCUUCGGCCGAACUUUUUAAUCAAGUUACUUACCCUCAACAAUGUUUCAGACCAUGAAAUUAGCAAAUUCACGUCGAUUUCUCUAACAUCUAACCAGUUGAGCCUUGUUCAAGUAGCUUUGUCCUUCAAACUUUUGCACUCACUGUUAAUUCUUCAUGAAGCCAAAAUUAUGAAACAGGGGUGUAUUGUGUUGCAAGUUAGACAAGUGUUUGAAACANNNNNNNNNNNNNNNNNNNNNNNNNNNNNNNNNNNNNNNNNNNNNNNNNNNNNNNAACCCUUUCCGGCACCAACGGCUCUGGAGAUUAACUAGACAGGUAGAUAACAUGAAUGUUCAAUAAAUCAGAUUUACAAAAGAGUAAAAAGAUGUAAGACCUGCAAGAGAGUUGUUUUUCCCGCUUCCACUCUGUCCGAAAAUUAGACCUAAACUGUGGCAAUUGACAGAAAUGAGCUACCACACAAAUGAAAAAUCCUUUUCUCCUUUAUGACAUAUGUAAAACAUCCAACAUUUAUAUGUUAAACAGUUUAUCCAGAUGCUAGUUAAAGUGGUUUUAUGAGGGACUACAAGUACAAUACGUCUUUAUCUAGUUUAACCAGGAUAGAUACAAGGAGAUACAUGAUGCUAGUUUGACCAGGGACUACAAGGGGAUACAUUAGGUCCUUAUAUUUUAGGAUUGAUUCAAUAAAAUAGUAUACCUUUACACUGUUAUCCUUAAAUUGGUGAACAUCAGCAUCCAUUUUUUUGAAGUCAACAUUUUUUUGAUCCCUGCACAUGUAAAAUCAAUAGAACAUAAAAAAUCAUGCAUUUCUCCAUAUUCAAGUCAUAUAUCUUACUAACUAAACUGAAUUCAAUGCUUAUAUUUAGGGGAUUAAUAGAACUGGAUGCAAGUUACUUAUUUAUCAGAUUUGUAGUACAAUUACUAAUGUGCUACAAGCCUACAAUGACUUUUUUAUCCUAGAUCCUACACCAGAGUUAUCUACCCAAAAAUAUAAUGAAAAAAUUGCUCACAUCACAAGAAUGGCCAAGUUGGUGAUUUUCAAACAUGUAGUUGAGGUGACAAUUACCAUAUUGCCUAAAAUCACAAGACUUAUUACAUUAGUAAAAGUAGGAUAUAUAGUUAGAAUUAAUUAGUUACAUGGUGUGAUAGAUUAUACUAGAUACUAGAUGAGA
Molecule: long non-coding RNA, 1515 nt
Filed under: Trifolium pratense (red clover)
Lineage: Eukaryota; Viridiplantae; Streptophyta; Magnoliopsida; Fabales; Fabaceae
Description: long non-coding RNA (TPRA_LNC002493)
Source: RNAcentral